This 441-nucleotide ribosomal RNA is filed under the name uncultured bacterium. RNAcentral's name for it is "partial 16S ribosomal RNA". It matches the Rfam family "Bacterial small subunit ribosomal RNA", at positions 338 to 795 of the family's 1533-position model. The record is from RNAcentral.
CCUACGGGAGGCAGCAGUGGGGGAUAUUGCACAAUGGGGGAAACCCUGAUGCAGCGACGCCGCGUGGGUGAAGAAGUACCUCGGUAUGUAAAGCCCUAUCAGCAGGGAAGAAAGAAGACGGUACCUGACUAAGAAGCCCCGGCUAACUACGUGCCAGCAGCCUCGGUAAUACGUAGGGGGCGAGCGUUAUCCGGAUUCACUGGGUGUAAAGGGAGCGUAGACGGCCGUGCAAGCCAGGGGUGAAAGCCCGGGGCCCAACCCCGGGACUGCUCUUGGAACUGUGCGGCUGGAGUGCGGGAGGGGCAGGCGGAAUUCCUGGUGUAGCGGUGAAAUGCGUAGAUAUCAGGAGGAACACCGGCGGCGAAGGCAGCCUGCUGGACCGCGACUGACGUUGAGGCUCGAAAGCGUGGGGAGCGAACAGGAUUAGAUACCCCAGUAGUC